AAACAUAACCAACAAACAGAGCUCUCAUCACUCUUUUGUUGAUAGCCUGAAACUGAGAAAUCUCACAGAGCGUGUGGAGAUCUCAUAGAGCUCGACGAUCAUGGAGAUCUCAUCGAGCUCGACGAUCAUCGAUUAGGUACGAUCGCACAGCUCCGAUUAGGUACGAUCUCGGUUUUGUGACUCUUCCUCUCUCUUGGCGUUGUGUUUCUCAGCUCCGGUUAGGUCUUUCCGAUUUCCCUCUGCCUCGCUCAGAUCCAUAUCCAUAUCCAAAAAGAAAAAAGAUUUUUCUAUCCAAUGUAUCACCUCGCAAUCAGCCCAAUCUAGUAGUGAUCACUAAGGCCAAUCUAAAUUUUGGGCCUCAAAACCUAUUUAUUCCAGGUCCAAUUUGCUUCACCAAAAUAUUGGGUUUGCAAAUUUUCAGUUGGCAAGUGGCUUUGCUGUUAAUUUGGGUUGCUGAUAUAAGGAAACAUGUGAAGAAUUUAGAAUUUGGGAAGGGACAUGUAUAUAAAGCUGUGCAUGUAACCAAUUUUUAUUUCCUUUCACCAACUUUGGCCUUAUAUAGGAUGUAUUAGGAUUUGUUCUGUUCACCUACUAUCAUGAUAGAUUGUGCAAAGAACCUUGUUUUUACAAUUUAAAAUUCUUAUCCCUGUUGACUAUUGAAUUAGAUCAUAUAAAUAUUGAUCGGGUUAAUUUGACUUUUGGUAUCAUAUAAAUUCAUACAAUUAUGAAUUUUUGUGUA
Molecule: long non-coding RNA, 739 nt
Organism: Quercus lobata
Lineage: Eukaryota; Viridiplantae; Streptophyta; Magnoliopsida; Fagales; Fagaceae
Exons: 5
Source: RefSeq, a predicted model, not a curated record